CAUCAGCCAAGAAGCCUAGAGGAGGAGAACCACUAACCUCACAGAAGCUUGGGCCUUAACAUUACGCUUUGAAGCCUAGAAUCUUACUGAGAACCUUUUACUUAGCUCUUUCUCUCGGCCUCCUUUCCAUUUCUGCUCCGAGCAAGAGCUGCAAGAAUGAGGACAUAAUAGAAUCAUUCAACUAACCAGAAAAGAGACAAUCUUCCCAGUGGGUUCUGUGAGGAAUCUUUACAUUCCUCUCUGUAUUGCUGGAGAUCCCAGCCCUGGUGGGAGUUUUGCCUAAGGUCACAACUGCAGGUAGUGAAUUUCCUUAUCUGCUGAUACUUAAGCUACGCACAAGCAAGAAAGUCACCCAGUUUCAGGAAGAGAUUCCAUUGGUUGAAAAGAGAGCACCCAGAUGAUUUGAGAUGCUCUGUAUGGUGAUCUGCUCUUCUGGAAAUAGUGACUGAAGUCAAACUGGAAGAAAUCGCAAAUUGUUGAGUAGAUUUUACGUGGCUAUGCUGAAUCUGUGAUUCCUGAUGGAUCAACAACACAUGACCUGGAGUUGUCCAGCUGCCAGUCCAAACUCCUGCAUAAAUUAGACACACUUCCUGCAUUGACUUUGUAUAGAAUGAAGACAAGAUCCUGCAACCUAACAGGAGCAAAAUCAAGGGAACUAUGUGUGAAAUUCGCAUUGGAAAUCUCUUUUCAGAAGUGCUUUGAAGUAGAAUCUAGCUCCCAGAGGUGGAUAAUCUUAAUGUUAAUUUACUGCACCACAAUGCGCAUUAUUACAGGACAUGUGAGUGAUUCAUCCAGUGAAUGAAGAAAAAUUAUUCCAAAUGAUUAUUGAUGAGUUAAUCAAGAUAGCCACGUCAACUUUCUUUGUCCAUUAGUGUGAACAGUAUUUCACAAUCAUAAUAAUAAGAGCCAAAUGUUAAUGGCUGAGGUAAUCAGACCCUAAUGAAGAACAGUGAAAAAUACUCUCUUUAAAUAGUUUACAAUGUUCAUAAUCACUGAAGUGGUCAGUUGGUCCCACGAUUCUUCAUAUUUCAUAAUGUGUGUUUACAAAUCAGCUUCUUGUUUUAAUUUAUUUUUUCUUUUCAACACAAGACCAGAAAAAACAAGGAGCAUAAAGACCAUAAAGCUGGAUAACAGCAUCAUGAAUAAAAAUUAUCUUGUAAUGUUAGUUUGUACUAAAGAAAAAGGAUUUUAUAAAGGGGACUAGAUGACUAACAGGCCUUUGCUACCUUUAAUUUCUGUGGUUUCUAUGAUUCUACUAUUAAAAAUCAUUCUAGUUUUAAGACUUAACGCCCAUGCUUAAUCUUACCUGUGUAAGUCUUUGCAGGAUCCAGGUCUUAAUUACUAUUUUCAACCAUAAUAUUGCCCUGAUUCUGCAGACAUGCACUUGAGUAACUCUGUGCAUAUGAGAAGUCCGACUGAGUUCAGUGGGACUGCUCAUAUGAGUAAAGUUACUCAUAUGUAUAUGUGUUUGCAGUAUCAGGGUUUAUGUCUUCACUUGUGUGUUGUAUGUGUUUGUAGAAAAAAAAUUCAGCAUGUCAUACAUUAGUUCUUACAAAUCAAGUAAAGCCUCUCCUUCAAUAUUAUGUUAGAAAACACAAUAAAAAUAACCCAAUAAAAUAAAGACUAUUUCUAA
Molecule: long non-coding RNA, 1633 nt
Organism: Mauremys reevesii (Reeves's turtle)
Lineage: Eukaryota; Metazoa; Chordata; Testudines; Geoemydidae
Exons: 5
Source: RefSeq, a predicted model, not a curated record